RNAcentral lists this ribosomal RNA (478 nucleotides) under uncultured bacterium. RNAcentral describes it as "partial 16S ribosomal RNA". It matches the Rfam family "Bacterial small subunit ribosomal RNA", at positions 45 to 542 of the family's 1533-position model. The record is from RNAcentral.
UGCUUAACACAUGCAAGUCGAACGAACCCNUUCGGGGUUAGUGGCGCACGGGUGCGUAACGCGUGGGAAUCUGCCCUUCGGUUCGGAAUAACAGUUAGAAAUGACUGCGUAAUACCGGAUAAUGUCGCAAGACCAAAGAUUUAUCGCCGAGGGAUGAGCCCGCGUAGGAUUAGCUWGUUGGUGAGGUAAGGCUCACCAAGGCGACGAUCCUUAGCUGGUCUGAGAGGAUGAUCAGCCACACUGGGACUGUGACACGGCCCAGACUCCUACGGGAGGCAGCAGUGGGGAAUUAUUGGACAAUUGGGCGGAAAGCCUGAUCCAGCAAUGCCCGCGUGACGUGAUGAACGGCCCUCGGGUCGUAAAGCUCUUUUACCAGGGAUGAUAAUGACAGUACCUGGAGAAUAAGCUCCGGCUAACUNCCGUGCCAGCAGCCGCGGUAAUMMAGGGNNANUUGUUUAACCUCAGGCNNGNCCCUNGU